GUGAUUUAGAUUUAACAGCUGCGGUAUUUUAACUGUACUAAGGUAGCAUAAUAAUUUGCCUUAUAAAUUGGGGCUAGAAUGAAUGGUUUGACGAAGGUUUAACUGUCUCUAUUUUAUUUAUUAGAAAUUAAUUUUUUAGUGAGAAAGCUAAAAUAUUUUAAAGGGACGAGAAGACCCUAUUGAGCUUGAAUUUAAUUAUGUAAUAAUAUUACAUUUUGAUAAAUUUUAAUUGGGGUGAUUAAGGAAUAAAAUAUUUAUAUUAAUAACUUCCUUAUUAAAAAGUGCUGUUGGGUUAAGUAACCAAUAAUAUUGCUUAUAAUAAAGUUACCAUAGGGAUAACAGCGUAAUUUAUUUAGAGAGUUCUUAUUGA
This 370-nucleotide ribosomal RNA is filed under the name Acanthosepion aculeatum. Its description in RNAcentral is "partial large subunit ribosomal RNA". Lineage: Eukaryota; Metazoa; Mollusca; Cephalopoda; Sepiida; Sepiidae. The record is from RNAcentral.